UACGUAGGGUGCAAGCGUUGUCCGGAAUUAUUGGGCGUAAAGAGCUCGUAGGCGGCUUGUCGCGUCUGCUGUGAAAUCCCGGGGCUCAACUCCGGGCCUGCAGUGGGUACGGGCAAGCUAGAGUGCGGUAGGGGAGAUUGGAAUUCCUGGUGUAGCGGUGGAAUGCGCAGAUAUCAGGAGGAACACCGAUGGCGAAGGCAGAUCUCUAGUACGGUACUGACGCUGAGACGCGAAAGCGUGGGGAGCGAACAGG
Molecule: ribosomal RNA, 253 nt
Filed under: uncultured bacterium
Lineage: Bacteria
Description: partial 16S ribosomal RNA
Rfam family: Bacterial small subunit ribosomal RNA
Source: RNAcentral